This is a long non-coding RNA of Corvus hawaiiensis (hawaiian crow), 126 nucleotides long. RefSeq lists it as uncharacterized. The transcript has 2 exons. The record is from RefSeq and is a predicted model, not a curated record. NCBI's taxonomy places the organism in Eukaryota, Metazoa, Chordata, Aves, Passeriformes, Corvidae.
UCCUCGGUGUCAGCCAACGUUGGAGACACGGUCAGGGAUCACCUCCUCUGGUAGCAGUGGCAGCUAUGGCUGGCAUCAGCAGAAGGUCCCUGGCAGUGGCCCUGUCACUGUGAUCUACAACGAUAA